UGUGCCUUGGCAUCUUUCUCUGGGUGUGGUUUGCUAAUGUAUUGAGCCUUUCUAUAGCUUAACUUAAAGCUUUGCUUAGAAAGCCCCCAACACUCAAGCCCUCACUCUGAAUACCUGAGCAGUGGCAUCUUGGAGCCAUGCUCAAAAGCUGGCCAGCCCUUUGCAGCUCUUCUGCCUCAGCUCCUUUGCAGUGCAGAUGCAAUAACUCUGCCUCGGUGUGGAGAAGGUUGAGCAGGGAGGUGUCUAUGGAGCAUUCAGACUUGUGGUGUUCCUCCUUUCCCAAGAGCAUCUGUGAGCAAGCAAGCAUGUGCUGAGCACACUCAGAAUAAUGUGCACKCACAGAGGGCCCUGAGGCUGCGUGCAUGGACUGAGGAGGAUAUGGGAAAUAGUGAACCACCGUCCACUUGCUGAAUGAGGUGGAGUUUGCCGCACUGCAUCACAGCAGCUCCAUGACAAGUGCUCCCUUUCCAGCUGCUGCUGCAUCCCAUCAAGACUGAUGGUGAAUCUUGUUCUUCUCUCACUGUGGAGGAGAGACUUCAGUGUGAGGACAGCCCUUGCUGGAUAUCAGGAGUUAUGCUGGAGAGCUCUGUUAUCAAAGUCGCACUUGCAGGUGGAGUGUCAAGACAGGGUCACAGCUCUUGGCACAGCAGCCCAUCRAGGAGAUGCACAAAGCCACAGGAAAUAAGACUUCACAGGUUUGCUGUUCACAGACCUACUGUCAUUCUGCUGUCCAGCAGGUGCCUCUGAGGGACCCUGUGAGUUUUACUCAGCUGAGCCAAUUCCUAUGARCAUGCCAGAGUGGUGGAGAAGGCACUCUUCUGUUACUGGAUAACUCCUUCUCCCAGUAAGGACAAUGGGUCAAAAUGGGGGAGUGAUAUGAUGUUAUUUCUUGGCCUCUGGUCCAGUUAACUGGUGCCUUGGCAUAAAGAAAACUGUUUCAUUUUUCUCUCUAAAGGUUUCUCUCCCUGCUCCUCUUUCAAGUUCUAGAGAACUUGAGGGUGAAACAGACUUCUGGAA
Nothoprocta perdicaria is the source of this 1017-nucleotide long non-coding RNA. RefSeq lists it as uncharacterized. The record is from RefSeq and is a predicted model, not a curated record. The transcript is spliced from 3 exons. Lineage: Eukaryota; Metazoa; Chordata; Aves; Tinamiformes; Tinamidae.